Molecule: long non-coding RNA, 1599 nt
Filed under: Ornithorhynchus anatinus (platypus)
Lineage: Eukaryota; Metazoa; Chordata; Mammalia; Monotremata; Ornithorhynchidae
Description: lncRNA (ENSOANG00000042224.1)
Source: RNAcentral
CCUCCCCUGUGUCCCCCCCCCCCCAAGGCCUUCCCCGGUCCCAGGGUGGCCACACAUCCCCGCCCACGGAAAGUGCCAAGAGGCGGGAGGUGCUGCAAAACUUGAGCUCCGUCAAAGGAGCACGGGGGGCGGGGGGGUGGGGGGAUGUCCGACCCCCAGCUCCCAGCCUCUCCCUCCCCGCGGGCAGCCCCCCGAAGGGGAUACUGCCGGCCGGGAUCCGGGCCUGCAACCGAGGAUGCUUCCGGCCAUGGGGGUGCACUGCCCCUGCACGAUUUGCAGAAACUCACUUUCCCACUCCAGCGCGGCCCCCCCGGGAUGGAGGGAUGCCGAUGGGGAGGGGGCCGUGCUGGUCCCCUGUCCCCCGGUCCCGCUCCAAGCGUCCCACAUCCAUCCCGGGAGAGGGGGGCGGCGGCACGGAAGGCACCGGGGAGCUGCAAAGGGAGGCAGGAGGACGGAGGGAGCGGGAGGAGGGGACGGGGGAAGAGGCGGGGAGCGAGGACGGGGGGGGGUCCCCGUGCUUGCUGGCUCCGCCCCUCCCGCCUCCCUCCCUGCUUCCAGGCGGGCGCUUUCCUCUCCACGAGCUCCCCGCCCUUCGGAGGAGGAAAGCGGCGGCGGCGGCGGGCUCCGCCUUUCCCGCCCGCCGGAGCCCACCGGGCCCCACGGGGGCUGGAGGGACGCGGCCCCUCCGCUCUGCACCUGCCCGUCGCCGAGGACCGAACCGCGGAGCCCCGGGAGAGGGGAGCCUGAGCGCGCGCGGAAUUCCCACGCCUCCCGGGAGAGGGGAGCCUGCGCGCGCGCCGAAUUCCCACGCCUUCCCACCCGGCCCGGGAAAAGGGAGCCUGCGCCCGCUCCGAAUUCCCACCCCUUCCCACCCGGCCCGGGAGAGGGGAACCUGCGCGCGCGCGCGCGGAAUUCCCACGCUUCCCCCACCCGGCCCGGGAAAAGGGGGGUGGGGGUCUUCCCCGCGCCCCUCCCCGUCCGAAGAAAAGUCUCUGACGCCCCCAAAGACGAAGCCUCCAGGUGGCUUUGACCUCCCCGAGACCGGACUGCUUAAACGAUAUGAGUUGAAAACCCGGACGCCUGAUUUGCGAUUCCGUAACUGUGGGGUUUAUGUUGUCUCCGAAACCCCCGUUUAGCCGGUGAGCCCGGGGUCGGGCGGGGGUCGUCUCUGUUGCCGAAUUGUCCAUUCCAAGCGCUCAGUAUAGUGCUGCGCACGUAGUGAGCGCUCAGUGGACGAUUGAAUGAAUGAAGGAGGUGUUCGCCUUGGCUCGGAUUCGGCUCCCGCACGCGGAUACCGCGGGACCGAAGCCCCCGCGGGGGUUCAGCAUCCUCGGGCCGUCGCCGUGGGGGGGAAGAAUAGCCUAUUUAUUUUGUUCACGAGGCUCCUUGAUACCAUUCAUCUUGAUGAUGUUGGCUUGUUCUGUCGUGUUCUGCUUUGCUGUCUCCCCCGCUUAGCCUGUGAGCCCGGCACUGGGCAGGGAUGGUCUCUAUCUGUCGCCGAAUUGUCCACUCCAAACGCUUAGUACAGUGCUCUGCACCUAGCAGGCGCUCAAUAAAUACUAUUGAGUGAAUGGACCGGCUCUUGACUGGGUUUCGGAG